This is a long non-coding RNA of Raphanus sativus (radish), 576 nucleotides long. RefSeq lists it as uncharacterized. The record is from RefSeq and is a predicted model, not a curated record. The transcript has 2 exons. Lineage: Eukaryota; Viridiplantae; Streptophyta; Magnoliopsida; Brassicales; Brassicaceae.
GAUUUUUUCCUUGAAGAUGAGACUAGAUAAACCCUAGAGUAUAUAGAUUCUACAAUAGUCACCCACCGUUGGCGACCACCUCCGUUCUGGCCAUGUCUUCACUGUAUCCAUAUUCAACCCCCGUCACUAGUAAAAGAACUAAAACUCAGAGAGAAGAUGCAUUGCCUAGAUACAAGUAUCUCAUUCUCAGAUCUCCCAUCAAGUCUCUUGGAAGUAAUAAUGUCUCGUCUUGUCUUAAAAGACAACAUAUGUGCAUCAGCUGUUUGCAAGUCAUGGUGUGAAGCUGCAGUGUCUGUUCGUGUAGUGGAAAAGCAUCCGUGGCUUAUGUGCUUUGAUAUAAACGUUGUAGUUUGUUUGAAAUCUGUUGGAUAAGCUUCAAAGAUAGCUUAGGAAACAAGUUAUUCAUAAAAGGAAGUUUGAAUAACUAAAAAGGAAAAACUUGAUUUAGAUUUAUGUUAAGUUUCUAGAUCACAUUGUAAUAGGUUAAGCUAAGACCCUAUAUAUAGAGAUCUAUAUUGUAAGAUGAUCUCAAGAAGUUAAGAGUUUAAUAAAACGAAGAAACUGUUUUAUUAACAA